UACGGAGGGUGCAAGCGUUAUCCGGAUUCACUGGGCUUAAAGGGUGCGUAGGUGGGUCUGUAAGUCAGUGGUGAAAUCUCCGGGCUUAACCCGGAAACUGCCAUUGAUACUAUAGGUCUUGAAUUAUCCGGAGGUAAGCGGAAUAUGUCAUGUAGCGGUGAAAUGCUUAGAUAUGACAUAGAACACCAAUUGCGAAGGCAGCUUACUACGGAUCGAUUGACACUGAGGCACGAAAGCGUGGGGAUCAAACAGG
RNAcentral lists this ribosomal RNA (253 nucleotides) under uncultured bacterium. Its description in RNAcentral is "partial 16S ribosomal RNA". It matches the Rfam family "Bacterial small subunit ribosomal RNA", at positions 524 to 776 of the family's 1533-position model. The record is from RNAcentral.